Molecule: ribosomal RNA, 253 nt
Filed under: uncultured bacterium
Lineage: Bacteria
Description: partial 16S ribosomal RNA
Rfam family: Bacterial small subunit ribosomal RNA
Source: RNAcentral
UACAGAGGGUGCAAGCGUUGCUCGGAAUUAUUGGGCGUAAAGGGCGCGUAGGCGGUGCGGUAAGUCCGCAGUGAAAUCUCUGGGCUCAACUCAGAGUCUGCUGUGGAAACUGCCGUGCUUGAGUGUGGGAGAGGUGAGUGGAAUUCCAGGUGUAGCGGUGAAAUGCGUAGAUAUCUGGAGGAACACCGGUGGCGAAGGCGGCGUUCUGGACUGCUACUGACACUGAGGAACGAAAGCCAGGGGAGCAAACGGG